UGGAAAGAAGUAAUGAUCCUCAUCCUAGAAGCCAACAGUAAGAAUCCUGGCCUGAGUCAGCCAAGGGCUACGGUAUGGCUAUGAAAAUGGAAAAGGAAUGUUUUUGAGGUCAAAUGCAUUCAUCUUGGGCUAAAGAAUUUGAAAAUUGAAAUCUUGGCAGAGGUUGACUUAUCGGUAAAAACACUCCAUCUGAGUAACCCCAAGUGACUGAAGACUUCAGUUCUCACUGCAAACUUUUUAAAAGGAAAUUGUUAUACCAUACUUGCUAAAUUUUAAAAAGACUUAUUCUGAUACCUAGAUAAA
Molecule: long non-coding RNA, 303 nt
Organism: Eptesicus fuscus (big brown bat)
Lineage: Eukaryota; Metazoa; Chordata; Mammalia; Chiroptera; Vespertilionidae
Exons: 3
Source: RefSeq, a predicted model, not a curated record